Molecule: ribosomal RNA, 518 nt
Filed under: uncultured bacterium
Lineage: Bacteria
Description: bacterial SSU rRNA
Rfam family: Bacterial small subunit ribosomal RNA
Source: RNAcentral
AGAGUUGAUCUGGCUCAGGAUGAACGCUAGCGACAGGCUUAACACAUGCAAGUCGAGGGCAGCGCGGAGGUGGCAACACUUCUGGCGGCGACCGGCGCACUGGUGAGUAACACGUAUGCGACCUGCCCCGGACAGGGGGGAUAAACCCGGGAAACUGGGCCUAAUACCCCAUAUGCCGAGAGGAUGCAUGUCCUUUCGGUGAAAGAUCCGUCGGUCCGGGAUGGGCAUGCGGCGCAUUAGCUGGUUGGCGGGGCAACGGCCCACCAAGGCGACGAUGCGUAGGGGUUCUGAGAGGAAGGUCCCCCCACACUGGUACUGAGACACGGACCAGACUCCUACGGGAGGCAGCAGUGAGGAAUAUUGGUCAAUGGGCGAUGGCCUGAACCAGCCAAGUCGCCGUGCGGGAUGAAGGCCCUCCGGGUCGUAAACCGCUUUAGCCGGGGAGUAACGUGGGGCACGUGUGCCUCAGUGAGAGUACCCGGAGAAUAAGCAUCGGCUAACUCCGUGCCAGCAGCGGC